Molecule: long non-coding RNA, 1199 nt
Organism: Onychostoma macrolepis
Lineage: Eukaryota; Metazoa; Chordata; Actinopteri; Cypriniformes; Cyprinidae
Exons: 3
Source: RefSeq, a predicted model, not a curated record
AUGUACUGUGUAUUUUAAAAAUAAGUAAAUACACUAAAAACAUUUGAAAGUUUUAAUAUGAACACUACAGCUUUUGCAAUAUUAACUGGCAUUUAUUUUAUUUAUUCAUUUUCUAAUACUUUUAGUUUUUACAUUUGUACUUUAAUUUCUAUUUGAAAAAUGAUGGUGUUAAAUUGUGGCUUUUGUGCAUUGUCUCCGUUCUCUCUGUCCUAUAGGGGUUAUGCGCAACACACUUCCGUAUUCUGCUAGCCAGGUCUCAUUGCUUCCGGUUCACGCGUUUUGCAAAUGCCCGUGAAAUAUGAAGCUGUUUUACUCAAGAUGCCUUCAAAGUAGACAGUAAAGAUAAUCAUAACCAAUGUCCAUCACAUAUGUGGAUUAAUAUAUAAAGGUUUUUUAUUUUUAUUAUUUUCAAUAACAUUUAUAUAUAAAAGUAAAAAAAAAAAACGUCAACAAUAAAAACAGCUAGCUAAUUUAACUGAUUACCUUAAAAGUCCAUUGAUAUCGCCAUUAUGUAAUACUGCUAUUAAUACGUUCUCUGACAAGCGGAAGCGAUGAGACCUGUUUUCCGGGUUUGGUCAGGUGACCUUCGACCUCUCUCUCCGUUACUCCAGGCUUCUGGAGAAGUGGAUUGGCUGCUUCUGCACGCUGAGAGCACAGCUGUAUGACAACUUAUUUUACAUUAGAAAGAAGGGACCCGAUAAAGACACCAGAUGUAAAGUCGUGUGCAGUGCAGAGGAGGCUGACCUGCUGUUCAAAGAAUUCCAUUCUAGCAAUAUUGGCGCACAUUUUGGACGGUUGAAAGCAAGAGAUGCCAUUUCUCAGCGGUGUUACCGGCCUGGCAUGUCAGCAGACAUAGAGAAUGGGUAAGCUCAUGCACUAUAUUCAUACUUAGUUCAAUGACUUAAUGAAAUCAAUAUAUUUUAUUCAUUUUAUAAUGUAUAAUUUAUAAUAAAUUAAUAUAAUAAAUGUUUGAGGUAUCACAAUGCACCGUGUGCCAGAAAGUGAGAAAAGACCUAAAACUUGAACCAGAUUACAUUCCAAUCAAGACCAAGGUUCCAUUCGAACUUGUCGGAAUGGACUUAACUGGAAAGCUGGUAAAAUCAGACCAGCAAUACCAGUACAUCCUUGUUAUCAUAGAUUACUGCAGGAAAUGGGCACAGGCGUAUCCUCUAAAAUCCAAGUCUGCUGCAGAAGUGACA